CUCACCCUGCGGUGUUCGAGAUUGCCAUAUAUUCCUUGAACCAUUUACACGCAUAGGUUGCGGGAUAUUGUUUGGCGGGUGUGAGCGUCGCUAGUCCGAUGAACCCGAAGUUGAACUGACUGUGACCGCCUUGAACCGUAAGGUUCAGGAUGCCGGUAAAACGGCACAGGCGGGGCCUUA
RNAcentral lists this non-coding RNA (180 nucleotides) under Pseudoduganella lurida. RNAcentral's name for it is "Massilia sp. D5 6S / SsrS RNA". It matches the Rfam family "6S / SsrS RNA". Rfam says of the family: E. coli 6S RNA was the first non coding RNA to be sequenced, but its function was unknown until recently. The record is from Rfam by way of RNAcentral. Lineage: Bacteria; Pseudomonadati; Pseudomonadota; Betaproteobacteria; Burkholderiales; Oxalobacteraceae.